UACGUAGGGACCAAGCGUUGUUCGGAUUUACUGGGCGUAAAGCGCACGUAGGCGGCUUGUUAAGUCAGGGGUGAAAUCCUGGAGCUCAACUCCAGAACUGCCUUUGAUACUGGCGAGCUUGAGUCCGGGAGAGGUGAGUGGAACUGCGAGUGUAGAGGUGAAAUUCGUAGAUAUUCGCAAGAACACCAGUGGCGAAGGCGGCUCACUGGCCCGGUACUGACGCUGAGGUGCGAAAGCGUGGGGAGCAAACAGG
Molecule: ribosomal RNA, 253 nt
Filed under: uncultured bacterium
Lineage: Bacteria
Description: partial 16S ribosomal RNA
Rfam family: Bacterial small subunit ribosomal RNA
Source: RNAcentral